Molecule: ribosomal RNA, 460 nt
Filed under: uncultured bacterium
Lineage: Bacteria
Description: partial 16S ribosomal RNA
Rfam family: Bacterial small subunit ribosomal RNA
Source: RNAcentral
CCUACGGGAGGCAGCAGUGAGGAAUAUUGGUCAAUGGGCGGAAGCCUGAACCAGCCAAGUCGCGUGAGGGAUUAAGGCCCUGCGGGUCGUAAACCUCUUUUGCCGGGGAGCAGUGGUCCGGACGAGUCCGGGCCGGGAGAGUACCCGGAGAAAAAGCAUCGGCUAACUCCGUGCCAGCAGCCGCGGUCAUACGGAGGAUGCGAGCGUUAUCCGGAUUUAUUGGGUUUAAAGGGUGCGUAGGCGGGCAUUUAAGCCGGCGGUCAAAUGUCGGGGCUCAACCCCGGCCUGCCGUCGGAACUGGGUGCCUUGAGUGGGCGAGAAGUAUGCGGAAUGCGUGGUGUAGCGGUGAAAUGCAUAGAUAUCACGCAGAACCCCGAUUGCGAAGGCAGCAUACCGGCGCCCGACUGACGCUGAGGCACGAAAGUGCGGGUAUCGAACAGGAUUAGAUACCCUGGUAGUC